ACCAGUGACGCCGCGUGCAGGAAGGAGCCCUUCGGGGUGUAAACUGCUGUCGUGUAGGGAGAAGGGUACUAAGGUGAACAAUCUUAGUACUUGACGGUACUACAGGAGGAAGCCCAGGCUAACCUCGUGCCAGCAGCCGCGGUAAUA
RNAcentral lists this ribosomal RNA (147 nucleotides) under uncultured Bacteroidota bacterium. RNAcentral describes it as "uncultured Bacteroidetes bacterium partial 16S ribosomal RNA". It matches the Rfam family "Bacterial small subunit ribosomal RNA", at positions 387 to 525 of the family's 1533-position model. The record is from RNAcentral. Lineage: Bacteria; Pseudomonadati; Bacteroidota.